GCAGCAGUGGUGGAAUCGGUAGACACGCCAGCUUGAGGGGCUGGUGGCCGCAAGGCUGUGGAGGUUCAAGUCCUCUCUGCUGCA
RNAcentral lists this transfer RNA (84 nucleotides) under Spirochaeta sp. LUC14_002_19_P3. It matches the Rfam family "tRNA". Rfam says of the family: Transfer RNA (tRNA) molecules are approximately 80 nucleotides in length. Their secondary structure includes four short double-helical elements and three loops (D, anti-codon, and T loops). Lineage: Bacteria; Pseudomonadati; Spirochaetota; Spirochaetia; Spirochaetales; Spirochaetaceae. The record is from Rfam by way of RNAcentral.